GGAAUCGCUAGUAAUGGCGGAUCAGCAUGCCGCCGUGAAUACGUUCCCGGGCCUUGUACACACCGCCCGUCACACCACGGAAGCUGGUCCCAUCCGAAGUCACUACCUUAACCUGGCUUUGGCCAGGAGGGGGGUGCCUACGGUGGGGCUGGUGACUGGGGUGAAGUCGUAACAAGGUACCCCUACCGGAAGGUGGGGGUGGAUCACCUCCUUUCUAAGGA
This 221-nucleotide ribosomal RNA is filed under the name Thermodesulfobacterium geofontis. RNAcentral's name for it is "partial 16S ribosomal RNA". It matches the Rfam family "Bacterial small subunit ribosomal RNA", at positions 1328 to 1533 of the family's 1533-position model. The record is from RNAcentral. Lineage: Bacteria; Pseudomonadati; Thermodesulfobacteriota; Thermodesulfobacteria; Thermodesulfobacteriales; Thermodesulfobacteriaceae.